Capsicum annuum is the source of this 2839-nucleotide long non-coding RNA. RefSeq lists it as uncharacterized. The transcript is spliced from 2 exons. The record is from RefSeq and is a predicted model, not a curated record. NCBI's taxonomy places the organism in Eukaryota, Viridiplantae, Streptophyta, Magnoliopsida, Solanales, Solanaceae.
CAGACAUCACUCCUCACAUUUUUCCACUCAUAAAAACUCAUACACAGAUGCAGAUAGCCAUCGAUAUACAGGACACCACAUUCACUCACAAUAGAAUAUACAUACACACUGCAAAUUCACACACUAGACAUAUACACACAACAACACCCAUCUCAAAGCCUCCAUUUUUUCUCACAUACGCACCAUCAGAAAGGAGAGAGGAACCUAUACACAGCAACGCACUCACACACAUAUACAUAUACGAACAUCCACAGCAACACAUAAAAAGGAGGGCUUGAUUUUCUCCAUUGAUCCCUCAUUCACCUUCUACACAUCCUCACUACACAGAAAUAUACACAACGCAGACUGGAGAUGGAGGGAAUCACACAUCAUCACUCUUAGGAACACAAUCACAGACCUCACCUAUUCCAUACACACACAAUCACUAAAAUUAACUCACACACGUACAAACACAGUUGAACAACGGAGAAUCGGUAGCAAAGGAAGAGAAAAUGGCGGAGGGGAGAUAGAGAUCAGAAAUAGAAAAGAUCUCUCUCUCUCGAGAAAGAAAAUAGAGAGAAAACUGGUUUUAGCUUGGUUUUCGGUGAAGCCUCGUCGGAAUACACCGUCCCAUCACUGCCAAACAGCCAAAAACCCAAAACCAGCGAGAACACCCCAAAUAUCUGAUAAGAAAUCGACCAAUCUCACGUUCUUUGCUACUAUUUGGGUCGCUGGAGCUGCAAACAAGAGCCCACUUAGAUUUCAACAAACCCAUUUAAGUUCAAGCCAAAAUCGGCAGUUUAGGCUCGUAUUGUGGUUGUUUUAGGCUGGUCUGUUGGGAUCGAGGUUCGAAUCGAGAGUUUUCAAAUCCGUCUUUGUCUUUCGAUCACAUAAUUUGGCACAAUAAAAGCUUCAAUCGAGGAAAUGCCUCGAGAAAGUUGUACUCAAAGAUGGUUCGUGAUCAAGGCCCGAGGUAUUGGGUAGAGCAUAGGCUAGGAUUAGUUUAGAAUAGGAUUUAUAUUUAAGCAUUUUUCUAUUUUCUAGACUUUAUAAUUCGGUCAUAGACACUAUUUUGGAUUUUUGAUUAUUUGGUUGUUUUGUUUGCUUGUUAUAUGUUUUGUUGGUUUAUACACUUCGUAGCAUUAUACUAGCUGAUAUACUCCAUGAAGAGACCAUGGUCGAACCACGGGAUCGAGGGGUGCAUAACACCUUCCCCUCGAUCAACCAAAAUCCUCAGCUGGAAUCUCUGUUCGCGAAUCAGUAUCUAGAGUCAAAUCAUUUUGAAAAAAGAUUUUUCAAAGAUGACUUGGCACACCAGAUUUAUGUCAAGUGGCGACUCUUAGUUUAAAUAUAAGAAGUCCUUUUCAAAACUAAUUUUCAUUUCUUGUCAUUUAAUAAUAAAAUCCUUUCAAACUUAUAAUCAUUCCUUUUGGUAAAAAGGGGUGUGACAGCUCUGGGCACUAGCUGGGGAGACUUUUUUUGAAUUCAAGCUUAUUUUUGGGGUAAUAUAGUCAUUUGAUGGACUGAUUGUUGCAUCUUUGAGGGUAAUAUAGUCAUUUGAUGGACUGAUUGUUGCAUCAUGCUUCUCUGGCUCCUUAGUAUAAGCCUAAUAUAUUCACAACACCAUAUGUCAUCUCUGAUUUUGCUGCUCAACCCUCUACUGAGGCUUCCAUAUUGUCUAUCCGCCCAGGGGUUGUGGUUUCCCAUGCCGCUAAUGAACCCAUGUUAAAUACUCUUGAUGAUCAUUUCUAUGCUCCUGAGCCUACUUUUAAGUUAACUGGAGCACCAAAAUUUCUUAACAAGAAGCCUAUCGUGCCAGAAGAGCCAGAGAAAACGGUUGGAAAAAGAAAAAGUAUAGAAAAUGCUAUGAAAAGUUCCCUAGGACUAGCGGAUAAAGAAGAUAUUUCAUAUAAAGACUGGGACAUAUUUUCAAGUGUCAACCUUUCUCAAAGCUUUGAGAUAUCGAAAUUUGGGAAACAUGAUGGACAUGAGGAUUUUGUGAAACAUUUGGGACGAUACUGAAGUCAAUUAUAGAAAACUAAAGGGAAGAAGAAGGAAAACAUACCUAUUGUCGGGCCAGUGACAAAGCAUAGCUCGAGAGGUCCAACUUACCAAUACUGUCAGCCUCAAUCCCGAGCUUACAUAUUAGAUCCACAUACUCAUCUAAAUAAGGUUUCUCGUUCCAAAGUCUAAGAUAUUUCAUUCUACUUCCUCAAUAUCCUUUGAACAAUGCACAAUUGUAUACUCGUUCGUCAUCUUAUCCACAAUGGAAAGCAAUGAUCUCUCAACAUUGUCCUUGGCCCCCACAUAUUUACCAAGGUGCCUCUAAAUCCAAGUUUAAACCAAGGCCAGAGUUUGCAAAGAGGAGGAAAGAAAAGGAUAAUUUCACUCCUAUUAGGGAAUCCUAUGCCAGUUUAUUCCAUAGAUUGGUACAAUGGGGCAUGAUCACAUCUCUUCUUGGGUAUACUCCUGACCUGCAUUCAAGAAGUUUUGAUCUUAAUGUACAAUUUUCAUAUCAUUCUGAUGUUCAGGGUCACAGUAUUGAAGAUUAUGGUGCUUUGAAAAGGGAAAUAGAAAAGAUAAUUCAAGAUAAAUCGAUUGGGGUGCAGAACAUUGACAGUGGUGGAAAGGUCUAGUCAUGAUGAUGUGCAACUCAGUGGCUAAGAUGUCAAGCUCAGUAAUUAGAAAGUCACUCCUCUCCUUACCAGGAAGUAUUAUUGGUAGUUUGUUUUGUUUUCCUUUUUGUUUUCUGAAUUAUUUCAGGAUUGUAAUUCGGAACUUAUCUUGUUUUGUUUCUUUGUCGUUUAUGUUUAAACACUUCUAUCUUCCCUUUCAACAAAAUGUAGUGUCCCUUUUUGCU